CGGUGAAUACGUUCCCGGACCUUGUACACACCGCCCGUCAAGCCCAUGGAAGCCGGGUGUACCCAAAGACGAUAACCGCAAGGAGUCGUCCAAGGUAAAACUGGUGACUGGGGCU
RNAcentral lists this ribosomal RNA (115 nucleotides) under uncultured bacterium. RNAcentral's name for it is "partial 16S ribosomal RNA". It matches the Rfam family "Bacterial small subunit ribosomal RNA", at positions 1360 to 1482 of the family's 1533-position model. The record is from RNAcentral.